Molecule: ribosomal RNA, 248 nt
Filed under: uncultured bacterium
Lineage: Bacteria
Description: partial small subunit ribosomal RNA
Rfam family: Bacterial small subunit ribosomal RNA
Source: RNAcentral
AGAAUCAACGCUGGCGGCGUGCCUAACACAUGCAAGUCGCACGAGAAAGGGGAGCAAUCCCUGAGUACAGUGGCGCACGGGUGAGUAACACGUGAAUAAUCUACCUCCGAGUGGGGAAUAAACUGAGAGAAAUCUUAGCUAAUACCGCAUAAUACCCACGGGUCAAAGCAGCAAUGCGCUUGGAGAGGAGUUCGCGGCAGGAUUAGUUAGUUGGCGGGGUAAUGGCCCACCGAAGACGAUGAUCUGUA